Molecule: ribosomal RNA, 252 nt
Filed under: uncultured microorganism
Description: partial 16S ribosomal RNA
Rfam family: Bacterial small subunit ribosomal RNA
Source: RNAcentral
UACGUAGGUCCCGAGCGUUGUCCGGAUUUAUUGGGCGUAAAGCGAGCGCAGGUGGUUUAAUAAGUCUGAUGUAAAAGGCAGUGGCUCAACCAUUGUGUGCAUUGGAAACUGUUAGACUUGAGUGCAGAAGAGGAGAGUGGAAUUCCAUGUGUAGCGGUGAAAUGCGUAGAUAUCGGGAGGAACACCAGUGGCGAAGGCGGCUUCCUGGCCUGUUACUGACGCUGAGAUGCGAAAGCGUGGGGAGCGAACGGG